GUUGUGAGAUUUUUUGAGGACAACGCGUUGGUGAGCUCGGAUAGUGAUUUGGGGUCUCCGUUUGAGCGGGGCAGCGUUUUGAGGACGUUCGGAAAGGGAAAUCUCCGGAGAAGUGAUUUUGGAGCGCGUGUGAUUGGCCUACAGGUCCGGGCACUAGUAGCCAGUG
Long non-coding RNA from Solanum tuberosum (potato), 166 nucleotides. RefSeq lists it as uncharacterized. The record is from RefSeq and is a predicted model, not a curated record. The transcript is spliced from 3 exons. Lineage: Eukaryota; Viridiplantae; Streptophyta; Magnoliopsida; Solanales; Solanaceae.